UCCGUAUUUGUAAAUACUAAUCCAAUUUUUUAAAAAUCUGCGUAUUUUAGUUGGAUUUAUAAAUACUACAUAUAUCUCUAAAUCAAUCAAAAUAUAUAAACCAAUAGAAUUUGAUAAACAACCAAUACAGUAAGCCCAACCAAAACCCAACAGUAAUACGAAACACGUGUCAAAAAACCUAGCCUUCAGCGUGUCUACUACGUGUCGUCCCUUAACUUUGUUGAGGAGAAAGCCACCGCUUAGUUUGCUGGAGAUCUCGCCGACCAUCUUCUCCGCCGAACAAGCAGGAAGAAAAAACAUUAACGAUGGCAAGGAUUAUCUAGAUUAAUUCCCUUGCAUGCCCUUUCCUCCAUUCUGCCGUUAACACCGUUGAGAUGUUGUGUCGUUCUCCAGAUGUGAAGAGAAGCAAUGAAGCUUCAGGAAAUUCCGGACAAAGAAUUUGCUGAAACGCUACUCUAAGCGAGGAGCUUCAACUCUACUGAGUCUGCAAAAAUUCUCAAGGCUUAAUCAGUCAACUCGAAAAUCUAAUGUGAUUUCAGAUACUUUGCCCAUAUUUAUUAAAGAAGGCAAAGAUUGACUCUUGUCAAGAUUAGAUCUCAAUAAUAACUAGAGAGAGACAAACGAACUCUCGAUAUUGAACGGGAUUUAAAUCCCUGUGAGAGGAAAGAAUGAUUAAAACCAAAAGGAUCUGCGUAAAGCGGAAGUUAUUAUCCACAACUGGAAGAAAUUUUCGCUACCGGAAUCUACAAUCGGACAAGCCGAAGAGAAAUCCAACCUAAAUCGGAUUGGAGCAAAAAACAAAAAGAGGGGUGGUGACCGAUGGCCAGAAAGAUUGUUCACCGGCCAACGAGCACGAUUUCAGUUUGGAUAAAAACUUAGAGUGAAGAUGGAGAAUUUAGUAUUAGACACAUCAAUCAUUAGUAGUCUUUACUUUCGCAGACUUCAAGCAAAUCUAUUUAUAUAAAGUUCAGUUUGAAUUCCUCCGAGGCCAUCCACAUAGACAGACACGUCAUCAAUUAGAGUAUUUUGAGGACGACACGUGUCUUUUUUAAUGAAACACAGCGUUUCUUCUUUUUUCUAUCGUCUCAGACAUUUGUGUUAUGCGUUUCUCAUCGAUAGCGAUGACUUUCCAGUUCCGUAAGAGGGCGUUGUGAUUUCUACGUCUUUAAUCUUAUUGUCUUUAAUCUCAUUAAAUCAGACGCCCACUAUGAUAGCUUCAGUUGCGUUGUUCAGUCGACGAUUUCCUGUAUAAAUAGGUUCGUAUUUCACUUUUGCGAAUCGUGGUGAAGAUUCCGCCGGCAGUCGAAAGCUCCUGGAAAGAUGUCUCCGGCGGAGGCUGGGGUUUCGCAAUGGCCACCUCAAGUUCUUCCUCACUCUUAUCUAGAAUCCGGGAAGCUGAUCACAUGCGGCUCGACGGACGAUCUAGGUCAAAGUUAUGUCACAUCAGGGAAGCACUGUUCGAGUUACUCUUUCAUAGGAGACUCCCGAGCCGUUUCCUCUGCGUCCGGAGGUUUGUGUACAGAAAACUGGAUGGGAUCAUUGUGUGGCGGUAACAGAGAGCCAUGAAGUUUAUACAUGGGGAUGGAAGGAAUGUAUACCCACAGGAAGAGUGUUUGGACAAGUGGAAGGAGAUUCGUGUGAAAUGAACACCUCCUUCUCCGCAGAACAAGGUAAAUCUCUUUUGCAUGUUAAAAUAUCUUAUGUAAUGACUGGUCUUAUAUCUCAUGUUCCAAGUGCUUCCAAAAGUUUCAACGCAGGUUUUCAUCUUCCACAUGUGCAUCAUGUAAUGAUGUAACACUGUUGGGAUUGUAAGGUAGUCCAUGUUGAACACAUUUCCAUUCACUCUCUCUAAGUAAUUUAAAACCAAUCUCAUUCCCAUACGUCAUAACAAGUUAUUGGGUGAAAAUGGCAUUCUCUGAUGCGUACGACUCUGCUAUGUUUGUGGGUAUUAAUGGUGAGAUGAACAAACUGACAAGCCUUUCUGCUGCUGCAGUUUCUCAAGCAAUGGUUGCAGAUACUAAUUCCCUUUCUUCUCUCUUUGCUGCUUUAUUAGAGACCUUAGUCCAUGUACUUAAACCUAUUUGACAUAUAUAAGAUGCAGGGAUGGCAAACCACAUAACCUUAACCUUCCAUGCCAAGCUCUCUAAGUUCAGACUUUUCAUCAAACAUAAAUCAUUCACCCUAGCCCUGAUAUUAGAUCAGAACCAACGCCAAUUCCUACUUUUGGUGGACAUGUCGGUAAUGAUAACUCGGGCAAUGAUAUGCUAGGUUCUGGAGCUGUUUAAAAAACUUACACCACUGAUGGUGUAAAGUGUGAACAGUUGUGUCGCUGUGAACAUCGUUGGCGUCGGUACUUUUGCUAUUAUUACAUAGUAUAAGUUAGUGAAAACUAUGUAAUGGUUAAUCUUCAAGAGUAUAGGAGUUUUGAACACUGUUGUGGACUUUAGCUGAUGCUCUACUACCACUUUUUAAAAAGAAUCCUCUAGACACAAGUAUUCUACCUCUUUCGGUCAUGCUAAUUAUUGCUUCUGAUUCUUUUUCC
This is an RNA transcript of Brassica napus (rape), 2542 nucleotides long. RefSeq lists it as uncharacterized. The record is from RefSeq and is a predicted model, not a curated record. NCBI's taxonomy places the organism in Eukaryota, Viridiplantae, Streptophyta, Magnoliopsida, Brassicales, Brassicaceae. The transcript has 5 exons.